GAUGAACGCUGGCGGCGUGCCUAAUACAUGCAAGUCGAGCGAAUGGAUUAAGAGCUUGCUCUUAUGAAGUUAGCGGCGGACGGGUGAGUAACACGUGGGUAACCUGCCCAUAAGACUGGGAUAACUCCGGGAAACCGGGGCUAAUACCGGAUAAUAUUUUGAACUGCAUGGUUCAAAAUUGAAAGGCGGCUUCGGCUGUCACUUAUGGAUGGACCCGCGUCGCAUUAGCUAGUUGGUGAGGUAACGGCUCACCAAGGCAACGAUGCGUAGCCGACCUGAGAGGGUGAUCGGCCACACUGGGACUGAGACACGGCCCAGACUCCUACGGGAGGCAGCAGUAGGGAAUCUUCCGCAAUGGACGAAAGUCUGACGGAGCAACGCCGCGUGAGUGACGAAGGCUUUCGGGUCGUAAAACUCUGCUGUUAGGGAAGAACAAGUGCUAGUUGAAUAAGCUGGCACCUUGACGGUACCUAACCAGAAAGCCACGGCUAACUACGUGCCAGCCGCCGCCGUAA
RNAcentral lists this ribosomal RNA (515 nucleotides) under uncultured bacterium. Its description in RNAcentral is "partial 16S ribosomal RNA". It matches the Rfam family "Bacterial small subunit ribosomal RNA", at positions 28 to 523 of the family's 1533-position model. The record is from RNAcentral.